UAAAAAUUUAAUUUUUGUUUAAAAAUUAAUUAAAUUUUACUGAUAAUAUACAAUUUAAAUUUAAAUAAUAAAAUUUAUAAGUAAUAUCUAUAUUUUAUUAAAUUUAAUGAAAGNUUAGAAUAAGGUAAGAAUGAUAAGUAUAGGACAAUUUAGUGCCAGCAUCAGCGGUUAGACUAAGUUUAUAAAUUAAUUUGGAUUUUAUUUAAUUACAAAAUUAAUUUUUUUAGNUUUUUAUAUAUAAUANAUAGUAUGGUGAAAUAUUAUUGUUUAAAANUAAGAAUUAUUUAUUAAUUUUAAAUUAAGAAAUUUUAUUAAAAGANCUAGGAUNUAGAUACCCUAUUAUGUUAAANCGUAUUAAAUAAAUAGAAGANNGAUUAAAUGAUAAGUCAUUAAAUUUAAAAGAUUUGGCGGUNACUUAUUAANUUAGAGGAACCUGUNAUAGUGAUUGAUAGUCNCACGAUNAAGAACUACUUAAAAUAAAAUUUAUGUAUUGCUGUUUUUAGUAUUUAAUUAAUUUAGAUUAAUACAAUUAAUAAUAAUUAAAUAAUUCNNAAGUCAAAAUAUAGUUUUUUUAAGANUUAAUAUGGGUUACAUUUAAAUAGAUUUAAAUAGUUGAAUUAAAAAAUUUAANUUUUUUUUAUGAAAAUGGAUUUAAAAGNUAAAAUUAAUAAAUUAAUUAAUNUUGAAUAUAAGAAUAAGUAUGNUACAAAUUNGCCCGUCACUUUCAAUAAUAUGGAAUAAGUCGUAACAAAGUUUAGGUNAUCGGNAAGAUGCUUAUUGUAAAUA
This 786-nucleotide ribosomal RNA is filed under the name Dolichovespula xanthicincta. RNAcentral describes it as "12S ribosomal RNA". Lineage: Eukaryota; Metazoa; Arthropoda; Insecta; Hymenoptera; Vespidae. The record is from RNAcentral.